RNAcentral lists this ribosomal RNA (459 nucleotides) under uncultured bacterium. RNAcentral describes it as "partial 16S ribosomal RNA". It matches the Rfam family "Bacterial small subunit ribosomal RNA", at positions 338 to 795 of the family's 1533-position model. The record is from RNAcentral.
CCUACGGGAGGCAGCAGUGAGGAAUAUUGGUCAAUGGACGAGAGUCUGAACCAGCCAAGUAGCGUGCAGGAUGACUGCCCUAUGGGUUGUAAACUUCUUUUAUAACGGAAUAAAACGAGGCACGUGUGCCUUUUUGCAUGUACUUUAUGAAUAAGGAUCGGCUAACUCCGUGCCAGCAGCCGCGGUAAUACGGAGGAUGCGAGCGUUAUCCGGAUUUAUUGGGUUUAAAGGGGGCGUAGGCGGGCUUUUAAGUCAGCGGUAAAAAUUCGGUGCUCAAACCCGUCCGGCCGUUGAAACUGGGUGCCUUGAGUGGGCGAGAAGAAGGCGGAAUGCGUGGUGUAGCGGUGAAAUGCAUAGAUAUCACGCAGAACCCCGAUUGCGAAGGCAGCCUUCCGGCGCCCUACUGACGCUGAGGCACGAAAGUGCGGGGAUCGAACAGGAUUAGAUACCCGGGUAGUC